AAAUUGAAGAGUUUGAUCAUGGCUCAGAUUGAACGCUGGCGGCAGGCCUAACACAUGCAAGUCGAGCGGAAACGAGUUAUCUGAACCUUCGGGGAACGAUAACGGCGUCGAGCGGCGGACGGGUGAGUAAUGCCUAGGAAAUUGCCCUGAUGUGGGGGAUAACCAUUGGAAACGAUGGCUAAUACCGCAUAAUG
Molecule: ribosomal RNA, 194 nt
Filed under: Vibrio alginolyticus
Lineage: Bacteria; Pseudomonadati; Pseudomonadota; Gammaproteobacteria; Vibrionales; Vibrionaceae
Also listed under: 1 other name
Description: partial 16S ribosomal RNA
Rfam family: Bacterial small subunit ribosomal RNA
Source: RNAcentral